This 1950-nucleotide ribosomal RNA is filed under the name human gut metagenome. RNAcentral describes it as "bacterial LSU rRNA". It matches the Rfam family "Bacterial large subunit ribosomal RNA", at positions 1 to 1977 of the family's 2925-position model. The record is from RNAcentral.
UUAAGCGACUAAGCGUACACGGUGGAUGCCCUGGCAGUCAGAGGCGAUGAAGGACGUGCUAAUCUGCGAUAAGCGUCGGUAAGGUGAUAUGAACCGUUAUAACCGGCGAUUUCCGAAUGGGGAAACCCAGUGUGUUUCGACACACUAUCAUUAACUGAAUCCAUAGGUUAAUGAGGCGAACCGGGGGAACUGAAACAUCUAAGUACCCCGAGGAAAAGAAAUCAACCGAGAUUCCCCCAGUAGCGGCGAGCGAACGGGGAGCAGCCCAGAGCCUGAAUCAGUGUGUGUGUUAGUGGAAGCGUCUGGAAAGGCGCGCGAUACAGGGUGACAGCCCCGUACACAAAAAUGCACAUGCUGUGAGCUCGAUGAGUAGGGCGGGACACGUGGUAUCCUGUCUGAAUAUGGGGGGACCAUCCUCCAAGGCUAAAUACUCCUGACUGACCGAUAGUGAACCAGUACCGUGAGGGAAAGGCGAAAAGAACCCCGGCGAGGGGAGUGAAAAAGAACCUGAAACCGUGUACGUACAAGCAGUGGGAGCACGCUUAGGCGUGUGACUGCGUACCUUUUGUAUAAUGGGUCAGCGACUUAUAUUCUGUAGCAAGGUUAACCGAAUAGGGGAGCCGAAGGGAAACCGAGUCUUAACUGGGCGUUAAGUUGCAGGGUAUAGACCCGAAACCCGGUGAUCUAGCCAUGGGCAGGUUGAAGGUUGGGUAACACUAACUGGAGGACCGAACCGACUAAUGUUGAAAAAUUAGCGGAUGACUUGUGGCUGGGGGUGAAAGGCCAAUCAAACCGGGAGAUAGCUGGUUCUCCCCGAAAGCUAUUUAGGUAGCGCCUCGUGAAUUCAUCUCCGGGGGUAGAGCACUGUUUCGGCAAGGGGGUCAUCCCGACUUACCAACCCGAUGCAAACUGCGAAUACCGGAGAAUGUUAUCACGGGAGACACACGGCGGGUGCUAACGUCCGUCGUGAAGAGGGAAACAACCCAGACCGCCAGCUAAGGUCCCAAAGUCAUGGUUAAGUGGGAAACGAUGUGGGAAGGCCCAGACAGCCAGGAUGUUGGCUUAGAAGCAGCCAUCAUUUAAAGAAAGCGUAAUAGCUCACUGGUCGAGUCGGCCUGCGCGGAAGAUGUAACGGGGCUAAACCAUGCACCGAAGCUGCGGCAGCGACACUAUGUGUUGUUGGGUAGGGGAGCGUUCUGUAAGCCUGUGAAGGUGUGCUGUGAGGCAUGCUGGAGGUAUCAGAAGUGCGAAUGCUGACAUAAGUAACGAUAAAGCGGGUGAAAAGCCCGCUCGCCGGAAGACCAAGGGUUCCUGUCCAACGUUAAUCGGGGCAGGGUGAGUCGACCCCUAAGGCGAGGCCGAAAGGCGUAGUCGAUGGGAAACAGGUUAAUAUUCCUGUACUUGGUGUUACUGCGAAGGGGGGACGGAGAAGGCUAUGUUGGCCGGGCGACGGUUGUCCCGGUUUAAGCGUGUAGGCUGGUUUUCCAGGCAAAUCCGGAAAAUCAAGGCUGAGGCGUGAUGACGAGGCACUACGGUGCUGAAGCAACAAAUGCCCUGCUUCCAGGAAAAGCCUCUAAGCAUCAGGUAACAUCAAAUCGUACCCCAAACCGACACAGGUGGUCAGGUAGAGAAUACCAAGGCGCUUGAGAGAACUCGGGUGAAGGAACUAGGCAAAAUGGUGCCGUAACUUCGGGAGAAGGCACGCUGAUAUGUAGGUGAAGUCCCUCGCGGAUGGAGCUGAAAUCAGUCGAAGAUACCAGCUGGCUGCAACUGUUUAUUAAAAACACAGCACUGUGCAAACACGAAAGUGGACGUAUACGGUGUGACGCCUGCCCGGUGCCGGAAGGUUAAUUGAUGGGGUUAGCCGCAAGGCGAAGCUCUUGAUCGAAGCCCCGGUAAACGGCGGCCGUAACUAUAACGGUCCUAAGGUAGCGAAAUUCCUUGUCGGGU